CCUCGGAGAGUUUGAUCCUGGCUCAGGACGAACGCUGGCGGCGUGCCUAAUACAUGCAAGUCGAGC
RNAcentral lists this ribosomal RNA (66 nucleotides) under Bacillus safensis. Its description in RNAcentral is "partial 16S ribosomal RNA". It matches the Rfam family "Bacterial small subunit ribosomal RNA", at positions 1 to 67 of the family's 1533-position model. Lineage: Bacteria; Bacillati; Bacillota; Bacilli; Caryophanales; Bacillaceae. The record is from RNAcentral.